Molecule: long non-coding RNA, 259 nt
Filed under: Trifolium pratense (red clover)
Lineage: Eukaryota; Viridiplantae; Streptophyta; Magnoliopsida; Fabales; Fabaceae
Description: long non-coding RNA (TPRA_LNC012588)
Source: RNAcentral
UUUUGUGAUGGUGAGAUAUGAACAGAAGAAUACUGAGAGAUGAAGGAAGAAGAGAAUGGAAAUGGUAAAGGAAACGUUCUAGAGAAAUGGAGAUGGAGUAUUUUUUAUUUUUCAUAAUUAUUUAAUUGUGGUUUUUAACUAUUAGGUGUCGGUUAAAUUAAAACCCAUUUUGGUAAUUGGUCACCCCAAAAGUAAUUUUGAUCAAACUAUCCAAACAAUAUAAAUUGGUGAAAAUCACUUUUAGUAAAUGUAUCCAAAC